GGGGAAUUKCCCCUWGUAACGGCGAGUGAAGCGGCAACAGCUCAAAUUUGAAAUCUGGCUCUCGGGCCCGAGUUGUAAUUUGUAGAGGAUACUUUUGAUGCGGUGCCUUCCGAGUUCCCUGGAACGGGACGCCAUAGAGGGUGAGAGCCCCGUCUGGUUGGAUGCCAAAUCUCUGUAAAGUUCCUUCGACGAGUCGAGUAGUUUGGGAAUGCUGCUCUAAAUGGGAGGUAUAUGUCUUCUAAAGCUAAAUACCGGCCAGAGACCGAUAGCGCACAAGUAGAGUGAUCGAAAGAUGAAAAGCACUUUGAAAAGAGAGUUAAAAAGUACGUGAAAUUGUUGAAAGGGAAGCGUUUAUGACCAGACUUGGGCUUGGUUGAUCAUCUGGGGUUCUCCCCAGUGCACUCUUCCAGUCCAGGCCAGCAUCAGUUUUCGCCGGGGGAUAAAGACUUCGGGAAUGUGGCUCUCUUCGGGGAGUGUUAUAGCCCGUUGUGUAAUACCCUGGCGGGGACUGAGGUUCGCGCAUCUGCAAGGAUGCUGGCGUAAUGGUCAUCAACGACCCGUCUUGAAACACGGACCC
This 577-nucleotide ribosomal RNA is filed under the name Fusarium annulatum. Its description in RNAcentral is "eukaryotic LSU rRNA". It matches the Rfam family "Eukaryotic large subunit ribosomal RNA", at positions 69 to 668 of the family's 3401-position model. Lineage: Eukaryota; Fungi; Ascomycota; Sordariomycetes; Hypocreales; Nectriaceae. The record is from RNAcentral.